UACGAAGGGGGCUAGCGUUGUUCGGAAUCACUGGGCGUAAAGCGUACGUAGGCGGAUUUUUAAGUCAGGGGUGAAAUCCCGAGGCUCAACCUCGGAACUGCCUUUGAUACUGGUGAUCUCGAGUUCGGUAGAGGUGGGUGGAACUGCGAGUGUAGAGGUGAAAUUCGUAGAUAUUCGCAAGAACACCAGUGGCGAAGGCGGCUCACUGGCCCGAAACUGACGCUGAGGGGCGAAAGCGUGGGGAGCAAACAGG
Molecule: ribosomal RNA, 253 nt
Filed under: uncultured bacterium
Lineage: Bacteria
Description: partial 16S ribosomal RNA
Rfam family: Bacterial small subunit ribosomal RNA
Source: RNAcentral